Molecule: ribosomal RNA, 501 nt
Filed under: uncultured bacterium
Lineage: Bacteria
Description: partial 16S ribosomal RNA
Rfam family: Bacterial small subunit ribosomal RNA
Source: RNAcentral
AUUGAACGCUGGCGGCAUGCCUUACACAUGCAAGUCGAACGGCAGCACGGGUGCUUGCACCUGGUGGCGAGUGGCGAACGGGUGAGUAAUACAUCGGAACGUACCUUAUCGUGGGGGAUAACGCAGCGAAAGUUGCGCUAAUAACGGAUACGCCCUGAGGGGGAAAGCGGGGGACCGUAAGGCCUCGCGCGAUUAGAGCGGCCGAUGUCUGAUUAGCUUGUUGGUGAGGUAAAAGCUCACCAAGGCGAUGAUCAGUAGCUGGUCUGAGAGGACGAUCAGCCACACUGGGACUGAGACACGGCCCAGACUCCUACGGGAGGCAGCAGUGGGGAAGUUUGGACAAUGGGGGCAACCCUGAUCCAGCAAUGCCGCGUGAGUGAAGAAGGCCUUCGGGUUGUAAAGCUCUUUUGUCAGGGAAGAAACAGCAGCUCUAACACAGUCUGCGAAUGACGGUACCUGAAGAAUAAGCACCGGCUAACUACGUGCCAGCCGCCGCGGUAA